UCUUGAUGCUUUCCAGGAAUGUCCAUCUGCAGCAAGAACCUCAAUAUGAUCUCUAUACAUUUUUACUAAGAUAUCCGAGCUCUAUCAUUCAAGAUCUAGCCACUUGAAAUUCAGGUCCAUAAGGGCAUCAAAGAGUAUCUCCAGCAAUUUCCCUAUAUAACUUCACCUAUAAGGCCCCACUUGAACCCGUGUAAAUUUAUACACACGGAUUAAAUUUACUCCUACAUGUGUAUAUUAGCUGCUGGAAUUUUUGUCCAAAAGGACCCCCUCUCGAACGCAUUUGCCAGAAAAGACCACAUGCAGGCGAUAAAAACGGAAAGGACCCCCUCUCCGCGUGGCGGCAGGCGCGCCAGGCGGCACGUGGCACCUGCCGCCACCGCCCGAGGCGGCUGGGGCACCUGCCGCCACCAGCCCAGGCGGUCGGCUGUGGAUCCCGUUCCCGCCACGCCGCGCCGUAACGGACAGAGGCUGGGUGGGCCCUGCCGCCACCACCCCAGGCGGCCGACCGGGAAUCUGGGCGCCCACGACAGCGACGCUGAUUGCACUAACUCGCGAUGGAUGCAUAUGAGCUUCAACUCCUUUUUAUCAUACUACUUCACUCUAUGUUGCAUGUGUAUAGCAAUUGCAUAGCUAUGUAUUGCUUGUUUAGCAGAUUUCUUAUCUGGGAAAAUCUAUCCAACGGCCAGACUUCCCGCUUCUAGGCCAGCAACAGAGUGAAAUUCAUUGGUGAUGCUCAUAACCUGUAAAAACUCUGGGUUGAUUGGUGCAGCGACCGCCUUCUCAGGAGGAACAACUUCAUCAUCAUCUGAUUCCGAAGAGGCAGAAGAAUGACCAUCAUCGUCAUCAUCUAGCGCCUUCGGCAAUCCCUCGACAUGUUCGCUCAUGUCAACGACCGCAGACCAAUAUCCCGUGUCAUACACUUGUUGGCCACCUGUUGGUUCCGAUGGGCCGGCGUCGGGGGCUACAGUUAUGGCCAACUCGGCCUCACCGGCACUGCUACUGCACUCGGCGACAUCACUGGCAGAAAUGAACUCCACAUAAACCAUGGGUUGUCCAUACAUGGAGUUAUUGGGAUUGCUUGCAAAACCCAUGUACGACGCCCAUGAUAUUUCACCAGUAACCCGCCGCAGGACCCAACGAUUUCCUCCCUCAACCACGAAAGCCUCCAUGGUCAUUUUUUUCAUUCAUCGCUGAACCAAACACCGUUCGGAUGCACCUUCUAACUGCCGCAUACUCUACAUUAACCAUGUCUUUCACUACAACCGUAGUCAUCCCGCACCUAGACACAUCCACACCAGAAAGACCCUCACGUAUGAUGUGCCAAUAAAACACUAACAAAUUUUCAAUAGUACCUAACGAGCAGCCAUAUUUACAUAGUUAGUCCAUUAAAAAUCAUAUUCUUAUAUUUACAUUGUAAUAACAUCUAUUACUUAUCUUUUUUUACAUAUAACAAUUUGACGAAUAUUCACAAAUGACUAUACAUCUACGCAUAAUAAUUUAUAUUGUACCAUUUGUGGCGACACUACAUAUACAAAAUAAAUACAUCAUAAAUUAGAAUAUGUCAUUCAUACCUCUGGUUUAAUGAGGAUAUCCUUACGAAUACAAAAAUAUCCUUUCGAAUAUCACAGUUAACUUAUCACCGGUAUAAUAUCAGCGAAUUCGACCUAUUAUCACAUGAACAAAAAUAUUACACACGCGUCUUGCAUGUAAUAUAUAAUAAUACUAAUGGAGUUAACAUAUUAUUACAUGUUUAACAAAAGUGCUAGUUACAUAUAAACGGAGUCGACAUAUUAUCACAUGAUCAAAAAUGUUACACACAUAUUUUUUUUACCUUCCUAAGGUUUCUAAAAUGCAGUUGCAUGGCUAAACAUAUCACCAGUAAUUUAUCAAAGUAAUCGACCUAUUAUCACAUAAACAAAAAUGCUAGUUGCAUGCGUGCGUCUUGCAUAUAUAAUUACACAAAUUGAUACAUUACAGUGUUAAUAAACAGAAAGUACAUACUUAAAAAACUAAUCAAAUAGACUAAAAUUUCCGUGCAUGUGAACAAAACCUACGAAAAUGAAUAGAUUUUACCUUGAUCUAUCUUUCUUUCAACUGCAACAUAUUCGAUAUCCAACCCAAAAGACCAGAAAUCUUGAAUCAAAGUGAAGAAAGGAGUGUGUUCUUCAGCUACAGAGAAAUGAAAAGACAGUGAGAAUAACCCAAAAUAAAAACAUCAUGCAUGCAAACACAAUCAACAGAAAUGGAAAACUCUUACCUUGAUCUAUCUUUUACUCAACUACGACGUCUUCAAAAUCCAAUUUAAAACCGUCCUAAAUCA
This 2320-nucleotide long non-coding RNA is filed under the name Hordeum vulgare. RNAcentral's name for it is "long non-coding RNA (HVUL_LNC012748)". The record is from RNAcentral. Lineage: Eukaryota; Viridiplantae; Streptophyta; Magnoliopsida; Poales; Poaceae.